AUGAGCUCAGAGAGCAGUGCAAGUAAUGGCCAUGCGAAAGAAGCAGCAUUAUAUGAGCAGCAGCUGUCCAAGAUUGGUGAAGUUAGAGCUGCUCUAGGACAACUAUCUGGAAAAUCUGCACUAUACUGCUCAGAUGGUUCAAUUGCGAGGUACCUGAUAGCAAGGAACUGGGACGUGAGGAAGGCUACCAAAAUGCUUAUGAAAACCUUGAAAUGGCGUUCAGAGUAUAAGCCGGAUGAGAUCCGUUGGGAUGAGAUAUCGGGUGAAGCCAUGACUGGUAAAAUUUACCGAAGUGAUUAUUUCGACAAGAGUGGACGGAGUAUUCUUGUCAUGCGGCCUGGAUGCCAGAAUACCAAGAAGUCCAAAGGGCAGAUCAGGUAUUUGGUAUACUGUAUGGAGAAUGCAAUUCUAAAUCUUCCAGCUGGACAGGAUCAGAUGGUUUGGCUGAUUGAUUUUGCUGGCUUCAGCUUGCCUAAUGUGUCACUUCUAGUGACAAAGUUGACAGCAGAUGUCUUACAAGGUCAUUAUCCUGAAAGAUUGGGUGUGGCAAUUCUUUAUAAUGCUCCCAAGUUUUUUGAGUCUUUUUGGAAGAUGGCAAGUCCCCUUCUUGAGCCAAAAACGAAAAAUAAGGUCAAAUUUGUGUACUCGGAUAGACCUGAAACUGACAAGAUAAUGGAAGACCUUUUCAACCUGGAUGAGUUAGAAUGCGCAUUUGGCGGUAGAAGCCCGGUCACUUUUAACAUAAAUGAUUAUGCUGCAAGGAUGAGAGAAGAUGAUAAAAAGAUGCCAUUAUUCUGGAGCCCCGAGAACUCGGCUCUUGCUGCAGAGCCAUAUCGCAUGAAGAACCACGGGUCUCAACAAUGUGACUCGGGUUUGAAGACUGAAGAGACUGCAUCUGACAUGAUUGGGGAAACAGAAGCUGCAUCUGAAAAGAGUGGAGAAACAGACACUGCAUCGGAGAAGGAAGAUGCCGAGGCUGCAUCUGAGGAGAGGGAAGAGACCGAGACUUCAUCAGGGAAGAGGGGAGAAAAUACGACUGAAUCUGUAAAGGAGGAAGAAACUGAGACCGUUUCUGAAAAGAAAGAAGAAACAGAGACUGGGUCUGAAAAGAAAGAAGAAACAGAGACCGAAUCAAGCACUGUAAAAUUGACAAGCUCGCGAGGGGAAGGUAUUGCAUCAGCAGGCAAAAGUGGCAGUUCAUCUGAUCCUUGA
This 1212-nucleotide ribosomal RNA is filed under the name Triticum aestivum (bread wheat). Its description in RNAcentral is "partial small subunit ribosomal RNA". The record is from RNAcentral. Lineage: Eukaryota; Viridiplantae; Streptophyta; Magnoliopsida; Poales; Poaceae.